This 2291-nucleotide long non-coding RNA is filed under the name Homo sapiens (human). Its description in RNAcentral is "non-protein coding lnc-SERPIND1-1:40". The record is from RNAcentral. Lineage: Eukaryota; Metazoa; Chordata; Mammalia; Primates; Hominidae.
GAGGUAGGACCGGCGGUGAGGCCGGCACCGCCCCAGGACCCUGUCCGCAGGAGCAGCACAGCAGGCAGCUGCAGGGCAGUGGGAGGAGCUGUCGAGUCAGCUCUUCUACUACGGAGGGGAACUGCAGAGCCAGAAGAGCACGGAGCAGCAACUCGCAGCCCAAUUGGUGACGCUGCAGAAUGAACUGGAGCUGGCGGAGACCAAAUGCGCCUUGCAGGAGGAGAAGCUGCAGCAGGACGCGCUGCAGACAGCGGAGGCCUGGGCCAUAUUCCAGGAGCAGACCGUAGUCCUGCAGGUGCGGCCCCACUCAGACGCCAAGGUGCCUCCCGCCUCUCCUCCCCCAGACCUGGGGCGGUGUGACGGGCAGCUUCGCAGAGUGCAGUACAGCACCGAGUCGCUCAUGGAGGAGAUGGCCAGGGCGGACCGAGAGACGCGGCUGUUCGGCGGUCCUCGCGCGCUGGCCAUCAGGCGCUGCUGACGCUGCCGCUCCUCUUCCUGGGGCUGUCGCUGCUCUGGACGGUGCUGUUGGACCCCGGCGCCGUCUCCGCGUGGCUCUGGAGCCUCACCUCGGAGACGACGCUGCGCCGCCUGCGCUACACGCUGUCCCCGCUGCUGGAGCUGCGCGCUAACGGGCUGCUGCCAACCUAAGUGCAGCGCCCCGCGCCUGGCUCCAGGUGGACUCCAGGGCACCGGCUUUAUUUCUGGUGCACUCCUCUCCUGAGAGUGUAGACCAAGGUCGCCUAAUAAACUCCUCAAGGGAUGAAGCUCGUGGGUUCGUCGUCUGUCUCCCAUGUCAUGUAGGAGCUUGACUGGCUUUUCAGCCUCCAAAGAUUCCUUCCUUUCUUACAGCUCAUGGAUUUAGAUCCACUCCCCAGUAUUGUAAACAGCAUUUUUAGUUUUUCAGGAUACAUAAUUUGCCAUAUUGCCAGAAACUUGUACAUAGCAUUUGACACUUUUUUCUUUGCCAAUUUGACAAGCUGCUUUUUUCAAGUAUUGUGAUUUGAAAUUAUUUCUACUAUAUUUGAAUUUAUUUCUACCAUUUGUAACAUGUUGAUCCUGAUUUUUCAAUGCUCCCCUUUCCUUCUGUUUGAUUAUUUGGGAAGUCACACUCUGUAUUCUGGUAUUCUUACUACUUGAGCUCAGCUCAUUGCUGUCAUCUUCCCCUAAACCGCCUUAAAGCAUCUUAGGUCUUUUCCCUCUGAUCACAUGUGCUACUUUUUUUUUUUUUCUUUUCUUUUGAGAUGGAGUCUUGCUCUGCGCCCAGGCUGGAGUGCAGUGGCAUGAUCUCGGCUCACUGCAAGCUCUGCCUCCCGGGUUCCAGCGAUUCUCCUGCCUCAGCCUCCCAAGUAGCUGGGACUUCAGGCGCCUGCCAUCAUGCCCGUUUAAUUUUUUGUAUUUUUAGUAGAGACAGAGUUUCACUGUGUUAGCCAGGAUGGUCUCGAUCUCCUGACCUCGUGAUCCGCCCACCUUGGCCUCCCCAAAGUGCUGGGAUUACAGGCAUGAGCCACCGUGCCUGGCCAACAUUUUCUCCAGAUAUCUUACCGAGUCCUAAUUUCCACUGCGGACAGAGAAUACACUCUGCGUGAUUUUAAUUCUAUCUCAUUUACUGAGACUUGUUUUGUGGCCCAGCACAAAGCUUGUAAUGAACAUUGAGAAGAAAGUGUAUUGUUGCUGUUGACAGAGUGAUUUUUUUUUUGAGACGGAGUCUCGCUCUGUCGCCAGGCUGGAGUAUAGUGGUGUGCAAUCUCGGCUCACUCCAACCUCCACCUCCUGGGUUCAAGUGAUUGUCCUGCCUCAGCCUCCCGAGUAGCUGGGACUACAGAUGCAUGCCACCAUGCCCAGCUAAUUUUUGUAUUUUUAGCAGAGACAGGGUUUCACUGUGUUGGCCAGGAUGGUCUUGAUCUCUUGACAUUGUGAUCCGCCUGGCUUGGCCUCCCAAAGUGCUGGGAUUACAGGUAUGAGCCACCGUGUCAGGCCGACAGAGUGUGUUCUAAAUACCCAGCAGGUCAAGGUGAGUGACAGGCUUGUUCAGGGCUCCUGUGUUUACUUUCUUGUUGGUAGCGCCGUCAAUUGCUUAUUGUGAAAUGCCCCUUCAUAAACACCCAUACACAUUUUGAUUAUGGAUGGCCCGUCUUUUUUCCAUCUGUUAUUUUCAUCUUAGAUCUGUCUUCAUAUGUAAAGUGCUUUGGUUAUAAUCAGCACAUAACUGGGUCUCACUUCUUCAAUUCAUGUUUAUAAUCCCUGACUUUUAAAUUGGGCUGGUAAGUCUAUUAUGUUUCUCCUUUUCUGCC